RNAcentral lists this small RNA (839 nucleotides) under Pseudofrankia saprophytica. Its description in RNAcentral is "bacterial SSU rRNA". The stretch from base 1 to 433 matches the Rfam family "Bacterial small subunit ribosomal RNA", at positions 1104 to 1533 of the family's 1533-position model. Lineage: Bacteria; Bacillati; Actinomycetota; Actinomycetes; Frankiales; Frankiaceae. The record is from RNAcentral.
CUUGUCCUAUGUUGCCAGCGCGUUAUGGGCGGGGACUCAUACAAGACUGCCGGGGUCAACUCGGAGGAAGGUGGGGAUGACGUCAAGUCAUCAUGCCCCUUACGUCCUGGGCUGCACACAUGCUACAAUGGCCGGUACAAUGGGCUGCGAUACCGCGAGGUGGAGCGAAUCCCAAAAAGCCGGUCUCAGUUCGGAUCGGGGUCUGCAACUCGACCCCGUGAAGUCGGAGUCGCUAGUAAUCGCAGAUCAGCAUUGCUGCGGUGAAUACGUUCCCGGGCCUUGUACACACCGCCCGUCACGUCAUGAAAGUCGGUAACACCCGAAGCCGGUGGCCUAACCCUUGUGGAGGGAGCCGUCGAAGGUGGGACCGGCGAUUAGGACGAAGUCGUAACAAGGUAACCGUACCGGAAGGUGCGGCUGGAUCACCUCCUUUCUAAGGAGCUUCUCACGGAGUUGUCCGUGGGGCCGGUUCCCGGCUGUGCAUGCCGGGCUGGUUUGCUCAGUGGCGUGGAAUGCUGACUUCAGAGGCUGUUUUUCGGCUGGUUCGGUGGCUAGUACUCUCUGCUCUUCGGGGUGGGGGUGGAACGGGCUGGCUGGUCGGGGAUGGUUUCGUGUGGCGCGCUGUUGGGUCCUGAGGGAGCGGAAAUCGUUUCUUCGGUGGCCAUCGACCCCCGGGUCUCCCUUUUGGGGAGGGUCGGGGGGUUGGCUGCGGUACGGACCAGUCCUUCUAGACAUCGGCCCCUGUGGGGGUGUCGGUACCCCUAGGGGUUGGGGUCGUCCGUUCUUUGAGAACUGCACAGUGGACGCGAGCAUCUGUGUGGCCAAGUUAGUAAGGGCAC